This 119-nucleotide ribosomal RNA is filed under the name Pteropus alecto (black flying fox). Lineage: Eukaryota; Metazoa; Chordata; Mammalia; Chiroptera; Pteropodidae. The record is from RNAcentral.
GUCUUCAGCCAUGCCACCCUGAACAAGCCCGAUCCUGUCUGAUCUUGGAAGCUAAGCAGGGUCGGGCCUGGUUAGUACUUGGAUGGGAGACCACCUAGGAAAACCAGGUGCUGUAAGCA